This is a long non-coding RNA of Lolium rigidum, 613 nucleotides long. RefSeq lists it as uncharacterized. The transcript is spliced from 2 exons. Lineage: Eukaryota; Viridiplantae; Streptophyta; Magnoliopsida; Poales; Poaceae. The record is from RefSeq and is a predicted model, not a curated record.
AAAAAAACACCCUUGAACUUAUCAUUCCUUCAGCUCAUCAUAAUUCUUGUUUCUGACAAAUUUUGUCGGUUAGUUUUUGUUUUCCUCAGAUUAGUAGUAGCUAUCCAGAUCUGCUCGCACGCGGAAGAGUAUGGACAGCUUAUCACUGGGCUCAGCCAACAUUACACUCUGAAAGAUUGGUGCUUUUUGUACGUCACCCCAGCUCGUGAGUUUACGGACCAUAUUAUGAUGACGGCCUUGGCCAGAGCGCUUGAGGUACCCCUCAGACUGGAGCGGCUCCAUGGAGUAGGAUCUGAUGAAGAUAACAUCUACACUGGGCCUGGAGAUGUGAGUGUGACGUUGCUGUACACGGGUAAUCACUACGACAUCAUCUACCCACGUCCUGUGCUGGUAGAACAUCCUGCUGAUUAGAGUUCAAGCCAACAGAUUCUGCUGAGUUGAAGUUGAGUUUGGUUGCUGCCUACGAACGAGAGCGUUGCUGGGUUUGGUGGUAGAGAGUUAGACAUGGACUGAUGUAGUAGGAGUAGGCAUGGCAUAAACUUGUGCAUUCUUCUUCUGUUUGCCCAAACUGCUGGUGCCGAUUGAUUGAUCACAGGAUGCUCCUUUGUCUGAA